GUCAUAUUCCGGCUCCCAGCCUCACAAUGCAGCGCGUGAGGGAGCUAAGCAGACAACUCAGAGGAAGUGCUCCCUCGCCAGCUGCCCGUCUGCCGCCCCAGCAGCCCGACUGGCAGCCCCACUAGACCCCAGGGAGAUAGAGAACCCCCCAGCAUUAGCAAAGGUAAGGAGGCUGGGGGUGUAAAUUAAAAAAAAAAUUUGAGUGUGUCUGUUAGAGAGUGUGAGUGUGUCUGUUAGUGUGUGUGUGUGUCUGACUGUGUCUGUUAGUGAGUGUGUCAGUUUCUGUUAGCUAAUGUAUGCAUAUCUGUGUGUGUGUGUGUGUGUGUAUUUAGAAUGCGGGGCGGGGGAGGGGGGCGCCUGAGUUUUGUCCUGCCUAGGUCAGCACAAAACCAGGAUACACCACUGAGCUCCACCAUCAAUAUAUCUACAGCUUCUUAUACAC
Molecule: non-coding RNA, 442 nt
Organism: Pelobates cultripes (western spadefoot toad)
Lineage: Eukaryota; Metazoa; Chordata; Amphibia; Anura; Pelobatidae
Source: the annotation of a GenBank genome assembly